This 492-nucleotide ribosomal RNA is filed under the name uncultured bacterium. RNAcentral's name for it is "partial 16S ribosomal RNA". It matches the Rfam family "Bacterial small subunit ribosomal RNA", at positions 29 to 507 of the family's 1533-position model. The record is from RNAcentral.
AGUGAACGCUGGCGGUAGGCCUAACACAUGCAAGUCGAACGGCAGCACAGUAAGAGCUUGCUCUUACGGGUGGCGAGUGGCGGACGGGUGAGGAAUACAUCGGAAUCUACUUUUUCGUGGGGGAUAACGUAGGGAAACUUACGCUAAUACCGCAUACGACCUACGGGUGAAAGCAGGGGAUCUUCGGACCUUGCGCGAUUGAAUGAGCCGAUGUCGGAUUAGCUAGUUGGCGGGGUAAAGGCCCACCAAGGCGACGAUCCGUAGCUGAUCUGAGAGGAUGAUCAGCCACACUGGAACUGAGACACGGUCCAGACUCCUACGGGAGGCAGCAGUGGGGAAUAUUGGACAAUGGGCGCAAGCCUGAUCCAGCCAUGCCGCGUGAGUGAAGAAGGCCUUCGGGUCGUAAAGCCCUUUUGUUGGGAAAGAAAAGCAGCAGGUUAAUACCCCGCUGUUCUGACGGUACCCAAAGAAUAAGCACCGGCUAACUUCGUG